RNAcentral lists this ribosomal RNA (253 nucleotides) under uncultured bacterium. RNAcentral describes it as "partial 16S ribosomal RNA". It matches the Rfam family "Bacterial small subunit ribosomal RNA", at positions 524 to 776 of the family's 1533-position model. The record is from RNAcentral.
UACAGAGGUGGCAAGCAUUGUUCGGAAUUACUGGGCGUAAAGCGCGUGUAGGCGGCUCUUCAAGUCAGGCGUGAAAGCCCCGGGCUCAACUCGGGAACUGCGCUUGACACUGUCGAGCUAGAGUGUGGAAGGGGCGAUUGGAAUUCCGUGUGUAGCGGUGAAAUGCGUAGAUAUACGGAGGAACACCAGAGGCGAAGGCGGAUCGCUGGGCCAACACUGACGCUGAGACGCGAAAGCUAGGGUAGCAAACGGG